Prunus dulcis (almond) is the source of this 391-nucleotide long non-coding RNA. RefSeq lists it as uncharacterized. The transcript is spliced from 3 exons. NCBI's taxonomy places the organism in Eukaryota, Viridiplantae, Streptophyta, Magnoliopsida, Rosales, Rosaceae. The record is from RefSeq and is a predicted model, not a curated record.
AUAUCUUUAGUUUCUUAUGCAGUUUUAGAGAUGCUCAACAACAGAGCAUAGAAUGUAUGUGCUGACUUCCCAACCCAUUGAACAUGAAACUUCACUGCAAUCAAUGGUACCAUGAUAUGAAGAGUCCUAAUUUACACGACUUCUAUAUCUUCUACAUGGGAAAGGGACUUACUCUUCUUGGGCUUCUUAAUUUCAAAUUGGUUUUGAUUAUGUUUUUCAGUUAGGUAUUGUUUUGAUUUUGAUUUUGGAUUUGCAGGUAUUCCAACUAGCGGCCCAUCCACCCUUCCCAGCAUCUGAUAAGGGUUGGGGUAAAGAAUUAGGCCAAGUACAAGACUAAUAUACUAUUUUGGAGUCUAUUUAUUUGGCUACUUGAAUUUGUAAUAUUUUCAUU